AUUGGACCAGAUGUUCCAUAAAGGGGAUGGGAAAACCUUGUCCUCUGAAGUGGACGUCAACGUAGACCCUGCAUCAUUUGUGUGCAGGUUCCUUGUAAAGAUGAACCCAGAGAAGAAUCGAAAGUGGAGAAGACCAAAUCAAGAAAGACCACAUCAAGAUCUGCGGUCUGUUCAAAGGCAUUAAUAAACAAGCGAGAGUCAUCGAUCACAACGGUGCGCCUGCUGGGCACUCAAGCUCACCACACACUGCCUCAG
Molecule: long non-coding RNA, 255 nt
Organism: Danio aesculapii
Lineage: Eukaryota; Metazoa; Chordata; Actinopteri; Cypriniformes; Danionidae
Exons: 3
Source: RefSeq, a predicted model, not a curated record